GACGAACGCUGGCGGCGUGCUUAACACAUGCAAGUCGAACGGACAGGCCCUGCUCUUGUUGGUUGCUUGAGUGGCGCACGCGUGAGUAACACGCGUGUAACCUGUCCUUGACUGUCGGAUAACUUCAGGAAACUCGGGCUCAUACCGGAUAGGAUCUCCUGAUGCACGGUGGGGGUUGGUAAGAUUCGGCUGUUGGGGAUGGUCUAGCUGCUUAUCAGCUUGUUGGUGUGGUAGUGGCUUACCAAGGCUAUGACGGAUAGCCGACCUGAGCGGGUUACCGGCCACAUUGGGACUGAGAGACGGCCCAGACGCCUACGGGAGGCAGAAGUGGGAAGUAUGGCACAAUGGGGGGGAGCCUGAUGCAGCAGCGCCGCGUGCGGGAAGACGGCCUUCGGGUUGUAAACCGAUUUCGCCGGAGACGAAGCGUGAGUGACGGUAAUGGGUAAAGAAGCACCGGCUAACUACGUG
This 468-nucleotide ribosomal RNA is filed under the name uncultured bacterium. RNAcentral describes it as "partial 16S ribosomal RNA". It matches the Rfam family "Bacterial small subunit ribosomal RNA", at positions 28 to 507 of the family's 1533-position model. The record is from RNAcentral.